Molecule: ribosomal RNA, 253 nt
Filed under: uncultured bacterium
Lineage: Bacteria
Description: partial 16S ribosomal RNA
Rfam family: Bacterial small subunit ribosomal RNA
Source: RNAcentral
GACAUAGGGCGCGAGCGUUGUCCGGAUUUAUUGGGCGUAAAGAGCUCGUAGGCGGCUUGUCGCGUCGUCUGUGAAAUCCCGUGGCUCAACUGCGGGCUGGCAGUCGAUACGGGCAGGCUGGAGUUCGGUAGGGGAGACUGGAAUUCCUGGUGUAGCGGUGAAAUGCGCAGAUAUCAGGAGGAACACCGGUGGCGAAGGCGGGUCUCUGGGCCGAUACUGACGCUGAGGAGCGAAAGCGUGGGGAGCGAACAGG